RNAcentral lists this long non-coding RNA (797 nucleotides) under Homo sapiens (human). RNAcentral's name for it is "PPP1R3B divergent transcript". Lineage: Eukaryota; Metazoa; Chordata; Mammalia; Primates; Hominidae. The record is from RNAcentral.
GACGCUCCUGGCCGAAUAAAAAACCUCUUCCUUCUUUAAUCCGGUGUCCGAGGAGUUUUGUGUGCGACUCGUCCUGCUACAUUUCUUGGUUACAAAAACCUCUUCCUUCUUUAAUCCGGUGUCCGAGGAGUUUUGUCUGCGACUCGUCCUGCUACAUUUCUUGGUUACAAAAACCUCUUCCUUCUUUAAUCCGGUGUCUGAGGAGUUUUGUUUGCGACUCGUCCUGCUACAUUUCUUGGUUCCGUGACCGGGAAGCGAGGUGAUUGAAGGACGGUCGAGGCAGCCCCUUAGGCUGCUUAGGCCUGCCCUGUGGAGCGUCCCUGCAAGGGACUCUGGCCAGCUUGAGCGACGGGCAUCCUGAGAGCGCUCCCGGGUAGGCAAUUGCCCUGGUGGAACACCUCGUCAGAGCAGUGUGUGGCAGGCCCCCGCGGAGGAUCAACGUGGUGGCUGAACACCGGGAAGGAACUGGCACUAGAAGUCUGGACGUCUGAAACUUGAAGAACGACCACACUUUUACGUUAAGGUUAAGACUCUCUGAGUUUCUGAAGCCUUGCAGAAGUAAUCUUUGCCUAGCUUUGGGAAGAUCUGACCCACUACAGAUUAUGUUAGAAGUGCCAGAGGAGGAAGACUUCCUGUACCCGUCUGUUAUGGAGCUAAAUCACAUCAGUCACACUGUGACAUGUGAUGAAAAACAUGGGCGCCAUAGUAAGUCAGCCAGAACCCAGAGCAAUGAGUAUGUCUGGAAGGAGGAGACUGCACCAAAGCUAACAUGUGGGCUGUGCGUUGAAGGAUGAGGA